UAACGAAUCUUCCGCAAUGCACGAAAGUGUGACGGAGCGACGCCGCGUGGAGGACGAAGUUCUUCGGAAUGUAAACUCCUGUCAGGGGAAAGAAAGUUCUGAUCUACCCCAGAGGAAGAGGCGGCUAACUCUGUGCCAGCAGCCGCGGUAAUACAGAGGCCUCGAGCGUUAGACGGAAUCACUGGGCUUAAAGCGUGUAUAGGCGGAAGGGUAAGUACCUUGUGAAAUCCCACGGCUUAACCGUGGAACGGCUUGGUAUACUGCUUUUCUUGAGCAAUCUAGGGGCGAGUGGAACAGAUGGUGGAGCGGUGAAAUGCGUAGAUAUCUGGAGGAAUACCGGUGGCGAAGGCGGCAUCCUGGACCAUUACUGACGCUGAGGCGCGAAAGCUAGGGGAGCAAACGGGAUUAGAUACCCACGUAGUCCCUGAGCGGGCUGGCAAGGCGCAU
This 447-nucleotide ribosomal RNA is filed under the name uncultured bacterium. RNAcentral describes it as "bacterial SSU rRNA". It matches the Rfam family "Bacterial small subunit ribosomal RNA", at positions 355 to 825 of the family's 1533-position model. The record is from RNAcentral.